Molecule: signal recognition particle RNA, 293 nt
Filed under: Cebus imitator (Panamanian white-faced capuchin)
Lineage: Eukaryota; Metazoa; Chordata; Mammalia; Primates; Cebidae
Description: Metazoan signal recognition particle RNA (ENSCCAG00000011551.1)
Rfam family: Metazoan signal recognition particle RNA
About the family: The signal recognition particle (SRP) is a universally conserved ribonucleoprotein. It is involved in the co-translational targeting of proteins to membranes.
Source: RNAcentral
GUCAGGUGCACAUGCCUGUAGUCCCAGCUACUCGGGAGGCUGAGGCUGGAGGAUCGCUUGAGCCCAGGAGUUCUGGGCUGUAGUGUGCUAUGCUGAUCGGGUGUCCACACUAAGUUCAGCAUCAAUAUGGUGACCUUCCAGGAGUGGGGAGCCACCAGGUUGCCUAAGGAGGGGUGAACUGGCCCAGGUCGGAAAUGGAGCAGGUCAAAACUCCCGUGCUGAUCAGUAGUGGGAUCAUGCCUGUGAAUAGCCACUGCACUCCAGCCUGGGCAACAUAUCGAGACCCCAUCUCU